UGGGCUAAUGCUUGAAACACAGGAGACCCUCAAGAAGUAUCUGCAAAAUGAACACUAGUGAGAAAGGACGGCUUUUGUUAGACUUCAUCCUAUAAAUCUUGAAGACUUUAACCUAGAAGCAUUGGAGGUGUCCAAUGAGGAACUUGGGUUUUAUGAACACUAAGUCCCUACCAAUCCCAACAGUAUGUCUGAAUCUCUGAGUUCCCAUAAGAAGAAAGAUUCUUCUCAAAAUAAAUCACUAAUAAGGGAAAUUUGGUGACUGAUUGAAGCUAAGGAAGAUAACCUCAUUUCUACUUCUGUAAGGAGGAAAAUACCCUCUCUGCCAAAGAUCCAGAGCUCAGUACCUGCACAGAUGUUCUUAUGGCCCAAGGAAAUCCUUCUCCACAUCUCUUGCCCUAUUACCUUGAAAGAAAAAGUGGCUGCCCCAAAUCCCCAAACGCCAUGAACAUUGAAGGAUGGUGCCCCUGUCCAUGUUGCAUUUGGAUGCCUCUUUGGAGUAUCAGGAGGAUUUGAGCAGUGGAAGCUCUUAAGAAAGAAAAUACAAAUUAUUUUAAGAAGAAA
This 561-nucleotide long non-coding RNA is filed under the name Homo sapiens (human). Its description in RNAcentral is "HSALNT0326730". Lineage: Eukaryota; Metazoa; Chordata; Mammalia; Primates; Hominidae. The record is from RNAcentral.